AUUGAACGCUGGCGGCAUGCCUAACACAUGCAAGUCGAACGGUAACAGGCCCUUCGGGUGCUGACGAGUGGCGGAUGGGUGAGUAGUACUUAGGAAUCUACCCUGUAGUGGGGGACGAACCCGGGGAAACCGUACGGGCGUAAUACCGCAUACACUCUACGGAGGAAAGACGGGGACCGGCAAGGCCUCGCGCUAUUGGAUGAGCCUAAGCCCGAUUAGCUAGUUGGUGGGGUAAUAGCCUACCAAGGCAGUGAUCGGUAGCUGGUCUGAGAGGACGACCAGCCACACUGGGACUGAGACACGGCCCAGACUCCUACGGGAGGGCAGCAGUGGGGAAGUAUUGGACAAUGGGCGAAAGCCUGAUCCAGCGAUGCCGCGUGUG
Molecule: ribosomal RNA, 382 nt
Filed under: uncultured bacterium
Lineage: Bacteria
Description: bacterial SSU rRNA
Rfam family: Bacterial small subunit ribosomal RNA
Source: RNAcentral